GAUGAACGCUAGCUACAGGCUUAACACAUGCAAGUCGCAGGACUGGCGCACGGGUGAGUCACGCGUAUCCAACCCUCCCAUGCCCACGGGAUAACCCGUUGAAAGACGUACUAAUACCGUAUGGUGAUGGAUGGGGAUGCGUCAGAUUAGCUUGUUGGCGGGGUAACGGCCCACCAAGGCGACCAUCAGUAGGGGUUCUGAGAGGAGUGACAAUGACAUUGGAACUGAGAAAAGGUCCAAACUCAUACGGUAGGCAAAAGUGGGGAACAUUGGUGAAUGGGAUAGAGCCUGAGCCAGCAAAGUAGCGCGCAGGACGUGGGCCGAUGGGUUGUAAACAGCUUUUAUGCGGGGAUAGGCGCCGGAUGAAUGAUGACAGGCUAAUUCCGUGCCAGCAGCCGGGGUAAUAC
RNAcentral lists this ribosomal RNA (407 nucleotides) under uncultured bacterium. RNAcentral's name for it is "partial 16S ribosomal RNA". It matches the Rfam family "Bacterial small subunit ribosomal RNA", at positions 28 to 526 of the family's 1533-position model. The record is from RNAcentral.